GGAGCUGUUGCUGGAGAAGUAGGAGCAGCAGUAGGAAUAGGACUCUUGGUCCUUGCAGCUCCGUUCACUGGGGGGUUAGUUUAGCAGCAGUAAUAGCAGGAGUGUUAGCAGUAUCAGGAGGAGCAGUAGGAGACACAGCAGCAGGAGGAAGAUGAGCUGUGGUUGUAAAUGCAAUAAAAACAAUGAAAUAGAACAGAAGUAUAAAGAAAGUAGAAGAACAGGGGAAAGAGUUCAUGGAGAUCAUAGAACGGCUGAAGAAUGACCUGGAAGAAAUAAAGACGACGUGUGAGAAGUUGGAGCAAAGAUCAACUGAACUUCAGGCUGGAAUCACUCUGACAGACAUGGAGGACUUCCAGAGGAGUCUGAGACAAGUUUCUGAACUGGCAAAAAGAAGUGAAGAGGUUUAGUCUUUCACUGCAAUACUGAUGAGUUUCAUAAAUGGUCUGUUAUUGCUAAUUGUGAAAGUCUUCAGAGUCACUGCGACCCCUGAAGAGGAGAAAAACUCCAUCAUCCAGUCAGCUGAUCUCUGUCAGCAGGUCGUUGUCAAGUUUGAUCAGAUGAAGAAAAAACUUUGUGUUUGAUCAGAAAACCCUGGACAUUUAUCUAGCAUACUGGACUUUUUCUAAUUGAAUCAGAUGAACAUUAAUACUUUAUGUUAUUAGACCAGG
Molecule: long non-coding RNA, 668 nt
Organism: Sander lucioperca (pikeperch)
Lineage: Eukaryota; Metazoa; Chordata; Actinopteri; Perciformes; Percidae
Exons: 3
Source: RefSeq, a predicted model, not a curated record